This 468-nucleotide ribosomal RNA is filed under the name uncultured bacterium. Its description in RNAcentral is "partial 16S ribosomal RNA". It matches the Rfam family "Bacterial small subunit ribosomal RNA", at positions 28 to 507 of the family's 1533-position model. The record is from RNAcentral.
GACGAACGCUGGCGGCGUGCUUAACACAUGCAAGUCGAACGGCAAGGCACUGCUUUUGUGCGGUGCUCGAGUGGCGAACGGGUGCGUGACACGUGAGUAACCUGCUCUUGUCUUUGGGAUAACUUCAGGAAACUGGGGCUACUCCCGGAUCGCAGCCCCUGCUGCAUGGUGAGCGUUGGAAAGUUUCGGCGGUUGCGGAUGGACGCGCGGCUUAUCAGCUUGCUGGUGGGGGAGUGGCUUACCCAGGCAUUGACGGGUAGCCGGCCUGGGAGGGUGAACGGCCACAUGGGGACUAAGAGACGGCCCAGACGCCAACGGGGGGCAGCAGGGGGGAAUAUGGCACAAUGGGCGGAAGCCUGAGGCAGCAACGCCGCGUGCGGGAUGACGGCCUUCGGGGAGUAAACCGCUGUCGCCUGUGACGAAGCGGGAGUGACGGUAAUGGGUAAAGAAGCACCGGCUAACUACGUG